UACGUAGGGUGCGAGCGUUGUCCGGAAUUACUGGGCGUAAAGAGUUCGUAGGUGGUUUGUCGCGUUGUUCGUGAAAACUCACAGCUUAACUGUGGGCGUGCGGGCGAUACGGGCAGACUGGAGUACUGCAGGGGAGACUGGAAUUCCUGGUGUAGCGGUGGAAUGCGCAGAUAUCAGGAGGAACACCGGUGGCGAAGGCGGGUCUCUGGGCAGUAACCGACGCUGAGGAGCGAAAGCGUGGGGAGCGAACAGG
Molecule: ribosomal RNA, 253 nt
Filed under: uncultured bacterium
Lineage: Bacteria
Description: partial 16S ribosomal RNA
Rfam family: Bacterial small subunit ribosomal RNA
Source: RNAcentral